This 447-nucleotide ribosomal RNA is filed under the name uncultured bacterium. Its description in RNAcentral is "partial 16S ribosomal RNA". It matches the Rfam family "Bacterial small subunit ribosomal RNA", at positions 331 to 792 of the family's 1533-position model. The record is from RNAcentral.
CCAGACUCCUACGGGAGGCAGCAGUGGGGGAUAUUGCACAAUGGGGGGAACCCUGAUCCAGCGACGCCGCGUGAGUGAAGAAGUAUUUCGGUAUGUAAAGCUCUAUCAGCAGGGAAGAAAGAAAUGACGGUACCUGACUAAGAAGCCCCGGCUAACUACGUGCCAGCAGCCGCGGUAAUACGUAGGGGGCAAGCGUUAUCCGGAUUUACUGGGUGUAAAGGGAGCGUAGACGGCAGCGCAAGUCUGAAGUGAAAUGCCGGGGCUUAACCCCGGAACUGCUUUGGAAACUGAGCAGCUAGAGUGCAGGAGAGGUAAGGGGAAUUCCUAGUGGAGCGGUGAAAUGCGUAGAUAUUAGGAGGAACACCGGUGGCGAAGGCGGCCUGCUGGACUGCAACUGACGUUGAGGCCCGAAAGCGUGGGGAGCAAACAGGAUUAGAUACCCGUGUA